This 216-nucleotide ribosomal RNA is filed under the name uncultured bacterium. RNAcentral's name for it is "partial 16S ribosomal RNA". It matches the Rfam family "Bacterial small subunit ribosomal RNA", at positions 29 to 273 of the family's 1533-position model. The record is from RNAcentral.
AGCGAACGCUGGCGGCAGGCCUAACACAUGCAAGUCGAGCGCCCAGCAAUGGGAGCGGCAGACGGGAUAGUAACACGUGGGAACGUACCUUUCAGUUCGGAACAACCCAGGGAAACGUUGGCGUAAUACCGAAUACGUCCGUAAGGAGAAGAUUUAUCGCUGAAAGAUCGGCCCGCCGUCUGAUUAGCUAGUUGGUGAGGUAAUGGCUCACCAAGG